ACGUUGCAAGUUCCCGAAAGGAUUCGUCUGUACGAAGAUGCCUUGUAACCGAUAAUUUAUUAGGGGGAAUCAC
RNAcentral lists this small RNA (73 nucleotides) under Enterococcus massiliensis. RNAcentral's name for it is "SMK box translational riboswitch (SAM-III)". It matches the Rfam family "SAM-III riboswitch aptamer (SMK box)", at positions 5 to 77 of the family's 82-position model. Lineage: Bacteria; Bacillati; Bacillota; Bacilli; Lactobacillales; Enterococcaceae. The record is from RNAcentral.